UUUAGAGUUUUGACCUGGCUCAGGAUGAACGCUGGCGGCGUGCCUAAUACAUGCAAGUCGAGCGAACAGACGAGGAGCUUGCUCCUCUGACGUUAGCGGCGGACGGGUGAGUAACACGUGGAUAACCUACCUAUAAGACUGGGAUAACUUCGGGAAACCGGAGCUAAUACCGGAUAAUAUAUUGAACCGCAUGGUUCAAUAGUGAAAGACGGUUUUGCUGUCACUUAUAGAUGGAUCCGCGCCGCAUUAGCUAGUUGGUAAGGUAACGGCUUACCAAGGCAACGAUGCGUAGCCGACCUGAGAGGGUGAUCGGCCACACUGGAACUGAGACACGGUCCAGACUCCUACGGGAGGCAGCAGUAGGGAAUCUUCCGCAAUGGGCGAAAGCCUGACGGAGCAACGCCGCGUGAGUGAUGAAGGUCUUCGGAUCGUAAAACUCUGUUAUUAGGGAAGAACAAAUGUGUAAGUAACUAUGCACGUCUGACGUCC
Molecule: ribosomal RNA, 489 nt
Filed under: Staphylococcus epidermidis
Lineage: Bacteria; Bacillati; Bacillota; Bacilli; Caryophanales; Staphylococcaceae
Description: bacterial SSU rRNA
Rfam family: Bacterial small subunit ribosomal RNA
Source: RNAcentral